UACGGGGGGAGCAAGCGUUGUUCGGAUUUACUGGGCGUAAAGGGCUCGUAGGCGGCCAACUAAGUCAGACGUGAAAUCCCUCGGCUUAACCGGGGAACUGCAUCUGAUACUGGAUGGCUUGAGAUUGGGAGAGGGAUGCGGAAUUCCAGGUGUAGCGGUGAAAUGCGUAGAUAUCUGGAGGAACACCGGUGGCGAAGGCGACAUCCUGGACCGGUAUUGACGCUGAGGCGCGAAAGCCAGGGGAGCAAACGGG
Molecule: ribosomal RNA, 253 nt
Filed under: uncultured bacterium
Lineage: Bacteria
Description: partial 16S ribosomal RNA
Rfam family: Bacterial small subunit ribosomal RNA
Source: RNAcentral